GAAACUAUAUAGUUGGCGGGGCCAGAGUGGGCAACGUAUCCCCAGAAUCAGGGGAGGGGCGCAGCAAAUUUGCUAAGGAAUUUCGGGGGGUACAUAGUGCAAACCUGGACCGAGGACACUGUCCGGGGUCUUGCAGAGACGUGAAAACUACCUUAAGCCUCAGGUUUCGCGCGGGGAAUCCUGGGAGAGUCAGCAGCGCUGCGGCAGGAACCGCUGCCGGGCGGCCCGGGAACCUCCCAGGACUUACUGAUGAAGUGGAACAAGGAGCCCUGGAUGGUGAAGAGAGAGAAGACAGUAGCAAAGGAUACACGUACAAAAGUGCAAGAGGAGGAAACUCAGAGAAGGGCAAUAGGGAAAAAUGGCUGGCUUUCCAGUAAAUACAUUCCAGGGUUUGUUGACAUUCCGCGAUGUGGCUGUGGAUUUCUCCUCGGAGGAGUGGGAAUGCCUGGAUUCUGCUCAGAGGGCUUUGUACAUUGGUGUGAUGUUGGAGAAUUACAGCAACCUGGUGUCUGUGGGUAUUGUGUGCAAGACAGACCUGGUCCCCUGUCUGGAGCAAAUCUGCAUGCCCUGGAAGGUGAAGAGAGAGAAGAUGGUGACCAAACCAGGUAGAGAGAAGCAUCAAGUGUGCAGUGAAUCUGAGAAGGUCUUGGAUCAAGAUUCAAAGAGUAUCAUCUAUGAGUAUGUGGAUAUGCAGUGGAAGUCCAGUGAAUGUAAUGAACUUGGCAAAAUGCUUCAGGAAUCUUCCAGAUGGAUACUUUGCAAAGCAAAUAAUACUCCAGAAAUCUGCAACAAAUACAGAUUUGGUAACUACGGGGAUGCCUGUUUUGAAUCACCAAACCUCAGUAGACAUAAAAGUAUACACACUGGAGAAGAACCUUUUAAAUAUAAAGACUAUGGCAAAUCUUUAAGUUUAUUUUCAAAUGUAAGUCAGAGUCAUGGAAUCUACAUAGGAGAGAAAGAAUAUAAAGAAUGUGAUAAAACUUUUGGCUCUACCCCAAAACUUGUACAACUAAAAAUCCAUAGUGGAGAAAACCCACGUAGAACAGGAUUCAGGACCUGCUCAAGCCUCAGUACAUAUCAGAGAACUUAUACUGGAGAGAAACCAUGGAUAUGCACAGAAUAUAACAAGGUCUUUAGGUGGUUGUCAGAUCUUAAAACCCAUUACAGAGUCCAUCCUGGAGAAAAGCCUUUCAAAUGUAAGGAAUGGGACAAAUCCAUCACCUUCUGUUCCUCUCUUAGAGAACAUGAGAACCUCCAUGAGGGAAAAUUGUACAAAUGUUUGGAAUGUGACAAAUCCUUUACCCGGUGCUCAUCUCUUAGAGCACAUGGAAAAAUUCAUACUGGAGAGAAACCUUUCAAAUGUAAGGAAUGCAUUAAAUCCUUUUAUAUGUUCUCCCAACUUAGGAAACAUGCCAGAAUACAUACUGGAGAGAAACCAUACAAAUGUAAGGAAUGUGAAAAAUCUUUUACCUACUCCUCAUCUCUUAGAGAACACCAAAACAUGCAUGCUGGAAAACUAUAUAAAUGUCAGGAAUGUGACAAAUCCUUUACCCGGUGCUCAUCUCUUAGAGCUCAUGAAAAAAUUCACACUGGAAAGAAACCUUUCAAGUGUAAGGAAUGUGGUAAGUCCUUUUAUAUGGUGUCCCAACUUAGAAAACAUGCCAGAACUCAUACUGGAGAGAAACCAUACAAAUGCAAGGAGUGUGAGAAAUCUUUUACCCAGUGUUCAACACUUAGGAUACAUCAGAAAAUUCAUGCUGGAGAGAAACCCUACAAAUGUAAAGAAUGUGGUAAGUGCUUUUAUAAGUUGUCAUACCUUAAAGUACAUUACAGAACCCAUACUGGAGAGAAACCUUACCAAUGUAACGAGUGUGGGAAGGGCUUUUCCCAGUUGUCCUGUCUUAAAAGCCAUGAAAGAAUCCAUACUGGAGAGAAACCUUACAAAUGCAAUGAAUGUGACAAAUCCUUUGCACAUUGCUCAACUUGUAGGAGACAUCAGAGCACUCAUGCUGCAAAGCUUUACAAAUGUGGGGAAUGUGACAAAUCUUUUGCCAAAUAUUCAUCUCUCAGAACACAUCAGAAAGUCCAUGCCGAAGAGAAACCUCAUGCUUGUAAAGAAUGCGGUAAGGCCUUCUAUCAACUAUCACAUCUGAAAGUUCAUUACAGAAUCCAUACUGGAGAGAAACCUUACAAAUGUGAUGAAUGUGAGAAAUCAUUUACAAAAUGUUCAUCGCUCAGAACACAUCAGAAAAUUCAUACAGGAGAGAAACCUCAUGCUUGUAAAGAAUGUGGCAAGGCCUUCUAUCAUUUAGCACACCUUAAUAUCCAUUACAGAAUUCAUACAGGAGAGAAACCUUACAAAUGUAGUGAAUGUGACAAAUCCUUUACCACACUGGCAAACCUUAGAAGACAUCACAAAAUUCAUUCCUGGGAAAAAACCUUUCCAUAGUAAAUAAUGUGGUAUAUGCUUUUUCCAGAGGGCUGUUCUUAGUGACCACUGCAGGUUCCACUCCAGAGAAACAUUAUGAACAUGAGAGACCUGGGGAAACCUUUAUGGAAUAUUUAAAUCUUAGAAAACAUCAAGAGUUUAUAGUGAAGAAAAAUUCUGAAAUGUUUCACUGUCGGAAGCCUUUCAUCACAUUUUACUUGUUCAACCUAAAAAUUGAAGACAAUAUGUGUUAAUCUAAAGAAUGUCAUCAAGCCUUUAGUUAUUCCCUGAAAUGACAUACAGCAGAAAAUUCGUAUUAGAGAGACAUUCAUGUUUAUGUUUGCCAUUGUGCUACAUUUAUGCCUUGCUGCAUACUAGAAAUACCUCUUGAGACCCCGAAGAAAUAACAUUGAAUUUGUCAAAGCUUUUUCCUACUAGACAUCUGGAAAUUCUUCUUGAAGGAAAAUCCAAGAGGGUGCUUUAAUAAAGACACCCUUUUCUUUUUUUACCUUUAAAAUAUUCAUUCUGGAGCGAAAACCUGUCAAUAGCAAGAUGGCAAUAACUUUACAGUGAUAAUCUAUAGCUGUGACAACAUGUAUGUUCAUGCACAGGUAGAAAAUCCCCAAGAAUGUACAGGGAAAUUAUUUUUCAGUACUCAAGAAACUUGGGGAAGUAUUUAGUAAAACCACAGUAAUAGUAGAAGUUUAAUAUACAAAUACUAAAACACAAAGGUUUGUAGGCUUAGUCAAGCCAGUUACUGCAUUAGCAGAUGGUUAUGUGAUAAUCUGAAGUUGCUCCUUCAGAGCUGAAGAACUCAAGACAGGAGUCACAAAAGUUAGUAGGGACUGACCAUAAUCAUCAGGGGACGUCAAUUGUCUGCACAGACUUAAUGCCAAUUUCAGGUACUCCCUGGAUCAGAGCUCCUUUGCACACAGAUCCUACACAUAUCAAAGCCCCUUUAAUAACCUUUCAAUACUUUUCUUCAUUCCUUAUCACUGAAAAGCAAUUCUUAGCCAGGUGGUAGUGGUACAGGCCUUUAAUUCAAGCACUUAUGUUGGGAGAGGGUAGACGCACGUGCAUCUCUAUGAGUUUGAGGCUAGCCUGAUCUACAGGGUGAGUUCCAGGACACGGAAACCCUGUCUCAAAGAUAGAACACACACAUACACACCCACAGACCAAUUCUUCCUACUUGAGCAGAAUUCUGUCUUGGAAACCCUCCACUUUCAGAAGUUACUUUAUUUGUAAUAAAUAUUGGUUGGAAGCAAACCUACUUCUGUUGACUACACCUGGAAGCGGUAUGAAAGUACAUUCUGGGAACAACACCAUGUUAUGGAAAAACAGUGUCUUGGAGGUGUCCCAUAAGCACUCAGAACUCUCCUUACAUUGGAUCAUUCGUGGACUAUAUUAUGAUAUCUUAUCCAUUUUAUCUUUUGAACUCAGUAUAUGUCUACAGUGAUUUCCAUUCAAGAUAUUGUAGAUAAGUCUAAUUGUCAUUUGAUGCAUGAGUAUUCUAUAAAUAAGCAAAUUAUCAACACAAUAAUAUUAGGACAAUGAAAGCAUUAUUUGUUAUAAUCUGCACCAGCAAUGGGAUUCUUCCUAAUGAUUUAGUUAUUCCAUCAGCCAAAUCCUCAUAAGAAACAGUUGAUAAGCUAUCUGAAAAUGUUAAAAACAUUAAAAUUUAAAUUCCCUUGGAAA
Molecule: RNA transcript, 4123 nt
Organism: Rattus norvegicus (Norway rat)
Lineage: Eukaryota; Metazoa; Chordata; Mammalia; Rodentia; Muridae
Gene: Zfp748-ps1
Gene name: zinc finger protein 748, pseudogene 1
Source: RefSeq, a predicted model, not a curated record